Long non-coding RNA from Papaver somniferum (opium poppy), 3597 nucleotides. RefSeq lists it as uncharacterized. The transcript has 6 exons. The record is from RefSeq and is a predicted model, not a curated record. Lineage: Eukaryota; Viridiplantae; Streptophyta; Magnoliopsida; Ranunculales; Papaveraceae.
UCAUCCCCAAAUCAAAACCCUAACCGAGAAACCUCAUUUUCGCUCUUCCGUUAAAUCAAAACCUCUUAAAAGUAACGAGCAGUAAGUUAGUGAUGGCUUCAAGAUGUAGUACUAGUACUGGUUUUAUAUGGGAUUCUGGUGGAGGAACCUUCAUUCAUAACACAGAAACACAGCAUUAUCAUAUCUACUCUCAGUAUUAGGACGAUCUAGGUCUUCUCUGAAUUGAAGAAAAAUGGGUUUCAGUUCACUAGAAAGGCAGAGACCUGCUUUCGUGUGAGCAUAUUUCAGAUUGAAAGGAAAUCCGCCGUGUAUUAAUUGACUUAGCUUUCUGUCCCUUUUGGUAUGACAGAGUUGAAUAGGGUAUCAGGUGGCCGUCCAUGUUGGUCUGAAAGAGUUAUUGAAAAAGAGUGAUGGUUAAUCUGGAAGAAAGCAGAACGUCUAAAUUAUGUGAAGAGAUGUAUUCCACUGGUUUCAUAGGAGAGUGUGAAGAGAAUUAUAAUGAUACAUAUGUUCAAACUAUCAGAAUUGGGGAGCAUGAAUGAACAAUUCUAUUCUGGCUGCAGCGCAACCUGUUGAAAUACUAGUCAGCACUAUAUGGUGCAUCAGUAAAGCUUCACGCAUGCUUCCGUUUCAUAACAAGCAUUGACGAAUAAUUGUAAUUGGUGUCCAUGAUUUUAGAAGAAAACCAGUAAGGCCAAGGACCAGAAUUCAGAAGGAUACAUACUAAGUAGCUGGUGUAAUAAUUUUAAAGUGUCGAGUUUUUGGCGCAUACUUUUUCUAUCAGUGCUGGCACAAAUGAGGGAACAAGCUGGGUUAGAUGAGAAUGGUAAGAAACAAUCCAAUACUGGUGAAAUCUAUGUGAAUGUAUUACCUACACAUGGACAUAAACUUGUAAGAGCUGAAGGAAAUGUCACUGACCUGUUCUAGUUCUAUGUGAAAGCAUUAUGAGAAUAUAUGUUGGUGAUUAACAGCAUUGAAAAGAGACUAGUGUAUUGAUAUCUGUCUUUAGGAUCAGAUAAGGAUAAGACUACAUCUAACUUCUUACAACAACUGCACAGGUACUAGAAACACCAGAACAUAGUGGUAUUCUGAUGCCCAUACGAUCAAGCUUAGAAUCCUUAUGGUAUCACAACACUAGCAAGUGUUAUGAUAAUAAACCUUCAUUCAAAUUUUAAGCAUUUUGAGAUUAGAUAGCAAGAGAUCUUUCCUGAAUCUAAUUAAUUGACAAUAUGUGGUGAAUGAUAAUAUUACAUCAUGUAUGCAUUACUCUUGUUAUGUUUACUGCAGUUUGUGAUUUACUUUUGUUAGAGCUAAUGGAGGAUGCAAACUUUAGUAUAGUUAUUUCCUUUAUAUGAAAUAAAAAACAGAGUCUGAGUAGUAUAUGCAGAAAAUAUUGUGUGAAACUGAGAGCUCUCUCAGUGGUCUAAUGCCUCUAGCCUUCUAAGAAAUCUGUUUGGUUCUUAGUUCUCAGAUUAUUUUUGCUUAAUGUUGUCAUUUAGAGAUUUAGUGUGUGAUUUUCGAGAUAUCAUAUGAUCGAGAGCGUGAUUCUAGUAGAAUUCUUGAGUUCAAGGAGUCAGAGGUUAACUCUGUGGGUAGUUAUGUUUUUGUGGAGAGCCUAGUAUCACUUAGCUCAGAAACUUAUGUGGGGCAUGCAGAGAAAGAAGACUCAGAAGAUGUGGUUGGUCUCGGUAACAACAAGUAUUUGUAUGUACUCGAAAUAUGUGUCUACUUUCUAUAUUUUUUCUAGGCUGGUUUUGUAGUGAUUUGUGGGCAAAAAUGUAUAAAGCACUCAGACUAGAGCUCGGAAAUGUGAAUAUUCAAUCCCUUUUCUUUGAGACAUAAUAACUUAUAACUGAAACUGGCUCUUGCAUUUUUUUUUUUUUUUGAGGUAUUUGCUCUUGUGGUUCGUGCAUCUUAGUUGUUUCAAUCCGUGAAUGUAGCUGUAUCGAAAACUCGACUAUUUGUCAAAUGAUGUACAAGUUUCCUUGUUCCUUAUCUUUUGGGUUUGUUCAAUUGGCUACAACAUAUCAACCAUGCACUUCACGGCUGAAGGUUGAGGUUGAGUCAGAAGCCAUUUAGUCAUUUGGAAAUAGUGUCAAGCUAGACUAUAGAUCUAAGAUAAUUACCUGGAAAUUUGUUCAUUGGCCUUAAUAGAUGGGGAUGGGAGUAUGAAACUUUAUUCUCUUUUAAAAAAACUGUGUGAACUGCGGGAGGUAGCAUUCGUGUUUUAUCGAUCAAGGUUUCAGUCAGAUAACAGACUGCUUAUUUUAGUUUUUUGAUGUGUUUAACCUUCUGGUUUCAGUCAAAUUUUGAACUGUUUGCAGUUCGUUUUAUGGUAUGCUAUAGACUAAUUCUUCUAGCUGUCUACUACUGGUUACGGCUUUAAUUGACACUAGGUGGGGAUGGGGAGGUGAUUGGUUUGUAUUGCUCAAUUUCUUCUCUAAAUUAAGAAAAUCGACUUUCGGUUCACUAAAAAGGUAGAGAGUGCUUCUGUGUGACGAAUUCUAGAUCGACAGUGAAUUAGCUGAGUAUUGAUGGACUGGAGGAUAGAGGCACAAAGUUCCUAAAUUGGGUAGUUAAUUUGGAAGAAAUUCGAUAGUCUAAACUAUGUGAAGGGAUGCAUUCCAGUGGUUUCAUAUGAGAUUGUGAAGACAAUUUUAAUGAUACAUAUGUUCAAAAUAUCAGAAUUGGGGUGCAUGAAUCCUGUUCUGGCUGCAGUGGAACCUGUUGAAAUACUAAUCAGCACUACAUGGUGCAUCAGUAAAGCUUCACGCAUGCUUUCGUUUAAUAUUAAGCAUAGACAAAUAAUUGUAAUUGGUGUGCAUGAUUUUUAGAAGAAAACCAUUAAGGCCAAGGACCAGAUUUCAGAAGGUUACAUGGCACAAAUGAGGGGACAACCGGAGUUAGAUGAGAAUGGUAAGGGUAAGACUAAAUUCAACUUCUUACAACAAACCGUGCAGGUGGGGGUAGAGGUAAUUAGAUGGAAGUUGUUGGAAUAUCAGUAGAAAUAAAGCAGCGAUAGCACCUGGCAGUGUUGCACACAACCUAAAUCAGUUUUUUUUUUUCAUUCAGACUGGACUCUAAAUCAGUGUCGAGUGCAGGAACUGAUGGAGAAUAACAUAUUGCUUGGCAAUUACAUCACCAGAUUUCAGAAGCUAAACAAGUUGUACAGUUUUUCAGUUCCGGGAUAAUCUUUGUAUGAGUUUGAAACAAUGUUGCUGUAUUCCGGCUAAACUGAGUUUGAAGCCAACAAAUGAGUGGCUCUGGACCACCAAAUUGCAUUAGGCAUCAGUUUGACUGAUGAAAAGUUAAUAGAAGAUCUGCUGGUGCGUUUGCAAAUGGAGCUCUUCACUGGGAGGAUGAUUCAGGAAACAUUUUCGCUCUCCAUUUGACUGAUGAAAAGUUUAGCAAACUUCCAUCACUGCCUUGUCUAACAGAAGCUGUUUUUUUAGAUAUCCUAUUUUUGUAGGGGUUUUAGGCCAUUUUAUAAGUGCUACUUAUUCUAACAGACUUUUGUAGUGAAAUAUGGUUGUUGAAGAAGAAUAAAGAUAAUUGUAAUGACUUGUGCUGGAGUAAAGAGUUCAGUUUUCAUACUUA